GGAAUAUUGGACAAUGGGCGAAAGCCUGAUCCAGCCAUGCCGCGUGUGUGAAGAAGGUCUUCGGAUUGUAAAGCACUUUAAGUUGGGAGGAAGGGCAUUAACCUAAUACGUUAGUGUCUUGACGUUACCGACAGAAUAAGCACCGGCUAACUCUGUGCCAGCAGCCGCGGUAAUACAGAGGGUGCAAGCGUUAAUCGGAAUUACUGGGCGUAAAGCGCGCGUAGGUGGUUUGUUAAGUUGAAUGUGAAAUCCCCGGGCUCAACCUGGGAACUGCAUCCAAAACUGGCAAGCUAGAGUAUGGUAGAGGGUAGUGGAAUUUCCUGUGUAGCGGUGAAAUGCGUAGAUAUAGGAAGGAACACCAGUGGCGAAGGCGACUACCUGGACUGAUACUGACACUGAGGUGCGAAAGCGUGGGGAGCAAACAGGAUUAGAUACCCGAG
Molecule: ribosomal RNA, 440 nt
Filed under: uncultured Pseudomonas sp.
Lineage: Bacteria; Pseudomonadati; Pseudomonadota; Gammaproteobacteria; Pseudomonadales; Pseudomonadaceae
Description: bacterial SSU rRNA
Rfam family: Bacterial small subunit ribosomal RNA
Source: RNAcentral